GAAAAAAAAACCCACAUAUUUAAAAGUAACAAAUUUCCUUCCAAAUUCUUACUACCAAACAAAUAACUCGCAGCAAUGUCAAAAACAAUGACUUUGGAAGAUCUGGUCCUUCUGAUAUCCCAGACACCUACUCUCUUCUCGUCCUCAACAUCACCUUCCGGACUUCAGCGGAUAGGUAUGGCAAGGUUGUCGAUGUCAUCAUUCCUCGUGACGCAGAACUGGUGAAUCUCGGGGUUUUGCUUUUGUUCGUUACAAGUACAAAGAUGAGGCUGCGAAGGCUGUUGAAAAGCUUGAUGGCAAAGCUGUUGAUGGCAGAGAGAUAAUGGUUCAGAAGAUAGGAGUGUAUAGAAUUCCCCAUUUCUGCUGCCUCAGAAGAUAACCCGUUCUCACUACAAUCACCCUAAACUAAAAGGAGUUAAAGAUUUUAAAAAGAAAUACUGCUCUUCAAUUUCAAGAACACAAUUCAAUUUCAUCGGCACUUCGCAUCAAAUUGCUUUUACGGAUCGAGCUCUUUGGACGAGAUUUGGAACUCGAAUUUCUUAAAAUCGAAGGUGAAGAUUGUGCUAAUGGACAAUAUUGUAGAUGCCCUAAAUAAUGCAUAUCAAGAUUUUCUUGCUGCUGCUGCUGGGAUCUGUCAAUUUUUCCCUCGUUACUGCAAGCAAGUUUUUUUGAAGUAUAAAGAAAUCUCUUUUUUUAAUGUCCAUAUGCUAUGCUCUACUGGAAGUCUAAAAGGAUAAGAUAAGAGAGUUUUCCCUGGUCAUGCAAUGCUUUACAAAGCAGCCCUGUUGUCACAAAAUUAGUUCCUGCUGUUGGCAUUAUCAUAUUUACUCUAUGGGGUUUGGAACAACUCAUGCGAAUGAGCAGACAUUUUUUUUUUGCAUAGAAUUGUGUAAUUUGGGAGAUGAACAAAGAUCGACCAUCUGAUCCUCUCGAUUUUUUCAUGUGGACUGUUGAGCGAGUUUUCAGAUAUAUUCGGCUCGGAGAACUUCAAACGGGUGCUUGCAGAUGAUGUAAGAAUAGUUUCAUCACUGCCUUCAACCGUUGUUAAUGGACCAGCUAAAGAGAAUCAAACUCCUUUUGAAGGCACACCACAUUCAUUCAUCCGCCAACACUACCUUUGACGGGAUGGCUCUAAAAGAGUAGAAUAUCAUAAAGUCUUGAAAGCCCAAAUGACAACUGCCAUUUCAUAUAUGAGAAAGAAGAUAGUAGAAAAGGAAGGGAAGAUAGUGAUGAGUCCUAACAAAAUCUCAGGGUUCUUAAGAAGGAAGGGAAAGUUGAGUAUAUCAUUGCCUUGCAGUGCCUUUUCUCUGUAAUUAUAUUUUUCGGUUCCUAGAAGAGGAAAAAGAUCUUUAGUUGCAGAAACCUUUCUUCAUACCUUGUUUAUUGUAUCUUUUCUCUGUAAUUAUAUUUUUCGGUUCCUAGAAGAGGAAAAAGAUCUUUAGUUGCAGAAACCUUUCUUCAUACCUUGUUUAUUGUAUCUAAUUUAUUAUUCACUCAUCAGUCUACAAGUGCUUCUUCAAAGCUCUUUUUACUA
This is a long non-coding RNA of Beta vulgaris subsp. vulgaris (sugar beet), 1534 nucleotides long. RefSeq lists it as uncharacterized. The transcript has 11 exons. Lineage: Eukaryota; Viridiplantae; Streptophyta; Magnoliopsida; Caryophyllales; Amaranthaceae. The record is from RefSeq and is a predicted model, not a curated record.